RNAcentral lists this ribosomal RNA (301 nucleotides) under uncultured bacterium. RNAcentral's name for it is "partial 16S ribosomal RNA". It matches the Rfam family "Bacterial small subunit ribosomal RNA", at positions 509 to 807 of the family's 1533-position model. The record is from RNAcentral.
CAGUAGCCGCGGUAAUACGAAGGGGGCUAGCGUUGCUCGGAAUGACUGGGCGUAAAGGGCGCGUAGGCGGGUGAUACAGUCAGAUGUGAAAUUCCUGGGCUUAACCUAGGGGCUGCAUUUGAUACGUGUUGUCUAGAGUGAGGAAGAGGGUCGUGGAAUUCCCAGUGUAGAGGUGAAAUUCGUAGAUACUGGGAAGAACACCGGUGGCGAAGGCGGCGACCUGGUCCUUGACUGACGCUGAGGCGCGAAAGCGUGGGGAGCAAACAGAAUUAGAUACCCCCGUAGUCCCUGUCUCUUAUAC